AUUGAACGCUGGCGGCAGGCCUAACACAUGCAAGUCGAGCGGAUGACGGGAGCUUGCUCCUUGAUUCAGCGGCGGACGGGUGAGUAAUGCCUAGGAAUCUGCCUGGUAGUGGGGGACAACGUUUCGAAAGGAACGCUAAUACCGCAUACGUCCUACGGGAGAAAGCAGGGGACCUUCGGGCCUUGCGCUAUCAGAUGAGCCUAGGUCGGAUUAGCUAGUUGGUGGGGUAAUGGCUCACCAUGGCGACGGUCCGUAACUGGUCUGAGAGGAUGAUCAGUCACACUGGAACUGAGCAACGGUCCAGACUCCUACGGGAGGCAGCAGUGGGGAAUAUUGGACAAUGGGCGAAAGCCUGAUCCAGCCAUGCCGCGUGUGUGAAGAAGGUCUUCGGAUUGUAAAGCACUUUAAGUUGGGAGGAAGGGCAGUAAGUUAAUACCUUGCUGCUUUGACGUUACCGACAGAAUAAGCACCGGCUAACUCUGUGCCAGCCGCCGCCGUAA
Molecule: ribosomal RNA, 500 nt
Filed under: uncultured bacterium
Lineage: Bacteria
Description: partial 16S ribosomal RNA
Rfam family: Bacterial small subunit ribosomal RNA
Source: RNAcentral